CCUACGGGAGGCUGCAGUGGGGGAUAUUGCACAAUGGGGGAAACCCUGAUGCAGCGACGCCGCGUGGGUGAAGAAGCGCCUCGGCGCGUAAAGCCCUGUCAGCAGGGAAGAAAAUGACGGUACCUGAAGAAGAAGCCCCGGCUAAAUACGUGCCAGCAGCCGCGGUAAUACGUAGGGGGCAAGCGUUAUCCGGAUUUAAUGGGUGUAAAGGGGGCGCAGACGGCGAUGCAAGCCAGGAGUGAAAGCCCGGGGCCCAACCCCGGGACGGCUCUUGGAACUGCGGGGCUAGAGUGCAGGAGGGGCAGGCGGAAUGCCUGGUGUAGCGGUGAAAUGCGGAGAUAUAAGGAGGAACACCGGUGGCGAAGGCGGCCUGCUGGACUGAAACUGACGUUGAGGCCCGAAAGCGUGGGGAGCAAACAGGAUUAGAUACCCUAGUAGUC
This 440-nucleotide ribosomal RNA is filed under the name uncultured bacterium. Its description in RNAcentral is "partial 16S ribosomal RNA". It matches the Rfam family "Bacterial small subunit ribosomal RNA", at positions 338 to 795 of the family's 1533-position model. The record is from RNAcentral.